Mytilus californianus (California mussel) is the source of this 352-nucleotide long non-coding RNA. RefSeq lists it as uncharacterized. NCBI's taxonomy places the organism in Eukaryota, Metazoa, Mollusca, Bivalvia, Mytilida, Mytilidae. The transcript is spliced from 2 exons. The record is from RefSeq and is a predicted model, not a curated record.
AUAUAUGGUUUCAGGGUUGGGAUCUUGACCGUUUACAAGUUUUCAAAAAGUAGGGGGGUAGGGGUGAACCUGGGGACUCCCCAAAUCUUUUAUUUGAUAUGUUUUAUUUUCCCAUUCAAGAAUAUAUAUGGUUUAGCGGUGGGGAUCUCAACUGUUUAAAAGAUAAAAGCACAUUCUCAAAUUGAAAGGGGGUGGGGGUAAGAAUAUAUAUAUGGUUUAGGGAGACUUAAUAACAUGCUCCGCUGGGGUGCAGCUUGAUACGACCGCAGAGGUCGAACCCUGAACAGUUGGGGCAAGUAUGGACACAACAUUCAAGCUUGAUACAGCACUGAAUUUGGAUUGUAAUUAAAUA